GACGAACGCUGGCGGCGUGCUUAACACAUGCAAGUCGAGCGGUAAGGCCCUUUCGGGGGUACACGAGCGGCGAACGGGUGAGUAACACGUGGGUGACCUGCCCUUAGCUCUGGGAUAAGCCUGGGAAACUGGGUCUAAUACCGGAUAUGACUCCAUGACGCAUGUUGUGGGGUGGAAAGCCAUGUGCGGCUAGGGAUGGGCCUGCGGCCUAUCAGCUUGUUGGUGGGGUGANGGCCUACCAAGGCGACGACGGGUAGCCGGCCUGAGAGGGCGACCGGCCACACUGGGACUGAGACACGGCCCAGACUCCUACGGGAGGCAGCAGUGGGGAAUCUUGCGCAAUGGGCGAAAGCCUGACGCAGCGACGCCGCGUGGGGAUGACGGCCU
RNAcentral lists this ribosomal RNA (387 nucleotides) under uncultured bacterium. Its description in RNAcentral is "bacterial SSU rRNA". It matches the Rfam family "Bacterial small subunit ribosomal RNA", at positions 28 to 417 of the family's 1533-position model. The record is from RNAcentral.